AGCGUACACGGUGGAUGCCCUGGCAGUCAGAGGCGAUGAAGGACGUGCUAAUCUGCGAUAAGCGUCGGUAAGGUGAUAUGAACCGUUAUAACCGGCGAUUUCCGAAUGGGGAAACCCAGUGUGUUUCGACACACUAUCAUUAACUGAAUCCAUAGGUUAAUGAGGCGAACCGGGGGAACUGAAACAUCUAAGUACCCCGAGGAAAAGAAAUCAACCGAGAUUCCCCCAGUAGCGGCGAGCGAACGGGGAGCAGCCCAGAGCCUGAAUCAGUGUGUGUGUUAGUGGAAGCGUCUGGAAAGGCGCGCGAUACAGGGUGACAGCCCCGUACACAAAAAUGCACAUGCUGUGAGCUCGAUGAGUAGGGCGGGACACGUGGUAUCCUGUCUGAAUAUGGGGGGACCAUCCUCCAAGGCUAAAUACUCCUGACUGACCGAUAGUGAACCAGUACCGUGAGGGAAAGGCGAAAAGAACCCCGGCGAGGGGAGUGAAAAAGAACCUGAAACCGUGUACGUACAAGCAGUGGGAGCCUCUUUAUGGGGUGACUGCGUACCUUUUGUAUAAUGGGUCAGCGACUUAUAUUCUGUAGCAAGGUUAACCGAAUAGGGGAGCCGAAGGGAAACCGAGUCUUAACUGGGCGUUAAGUUGCAGGGUAUAGACCCGAAACCCGGUGAUCUAGCCAUGGGCAGGUUGAAGGUUGGGUAACACUAACUGGAGGACCGAACCGACUAAUGUUGAAAAAUUAGCGGAUGACUUGUGGCUGGGGGUGAAAGGCCAAUCAAACCGGGAGAUAGCUGGUUCUCCCCGAAAGCUAUUUAGGUAGCGCCUCGUGAAUUCAUCUCCGGGGGUAGAGCACUGUUUCGGCAAGGGGGUCAUCCCGACUUACCAACCCGAUGCAAACUGCGAAUACCGGAGAAUGUUAUCACGGGAGACACACGGCGGGUGCUAACGUCCGUCGUGAAGAGGGAAACAACCCAGACCGCCAGCUAAGGUCCCAAAGUCAUGGUUAAGUGGGAAACGAUGUGGGAAGGCCCAGACAGCCAGGAUGUUGGCUUAGAAGCAGCCAUCAUUUAAAGAAAGCGUAAUAGCUCACUGGUCGAGUCGGCCUGCGCGGAAGAUGUAACGGGGCUAAACCAUGCACCGAAGCUGCGGCAGCGACGCUUAUGCGUUGUUGGGUAGGGGAGCGUUCUGUAAGCCUGUGAAGGUGUGCUGUGAGGCAUGCUGGAGGUAUCAGAAGUGCGAAUGCUGACAUAAGUAACGAUAAAGCGGGUGAAAAGCCCGCUCGCCGGAAGACCAAGGGUUCCUGUCCAACGUUAAUCGGGGCAGGGUGAGUCGACCCCUAAGGCGAGGCCGAAAGGCGUAGUCGAUGGGAAACAGGUUAAUAUUCCUGUACUUGGUGUUACUGCGAAGGGGGGACGGAGAAGGCUAUGUUGGCCGGGCGACGGUUGUCCCGGUUUAAGCGUGUAGGCUGAUUUUCCAGGCAAAUCCGGAAAAUCAAGGCUGAGGCGUGAUGACGAGGCACUACGGUGCUGAAGCAACAAAUGCCCUGCUUCCAGGAAAAGCCUCUAAGCAUCAGGUAACAUCAAAUCGUACCCCAAACCGACACAGGUGGUCAGGUAGAGAAUACCAAGGCGCUUGAGAGAACUCGGGUGAAGGAACUAGGCAAAAUGGUGCCGUAACUUCGGGAGAAGGCACGCUGAUAUGUAGGUGAAGUCCCUCGCGGAUGGAGCUGAAAUCAGUCGAAGAUACCAGCUGGCUGCAACUGUUUAUUAAAAACACAGCACUGUGCAAACACGAAAGUGGACGUAUACGGUGUGACGCCUGCCCGGUGCCGGAAGGUUAAUUGAUGGGGUCAGCGCAAGCGAAGCUCUUGAUCGAAGCCCCGGUAAACGGCGGCCGUAACUAUAACGGUCCUAAGGUAGCGAAAUUCCUUGUCGGGUAAGUUCCGACCUGCACGAAUGGCGUAAUGAUGGCCAGGCUGUCUCCACCCGAGACUCAGUGAAAUUGAACUCGCUGUGAAGAUGCAGUGUACCCGCGGCAAGACGGAAAGACCCGUGAACCUUUACUAUAGCUUGACACUGAACAUUGAGCCUUGAUGUGUAGGAUAGGUGGGAGGCUUAGAAGUGUGGACGCCAGUCUGCAUGGAGCCGGCCUUGAAAUACCACCCUUUAAUGUUUGAUGUUCUAACGUGGACCCGUAAUCCGGGUUGCGGACAGUGUCUGGUGGGUAGUUUGACUGGGGCGGUCUCCUCCUAAAGAGUAACGGAGGAGCACGAAGGUUGGCUAAUCCUGGUCGGACAUCAGGAGGUUAGUGCAAUGGCAUAAGCCAGCUUGACUGCGAGCGUGACGGCGCGAGCAGGUGCGAAAGCAGGUCAUAGUGAUCCGGUGGUUCUGAAUGGAAGGGCCAUCGCUCAACGGAUAAAAGGUACUCCGGGGAUAACAGGCUGAUACCGCCCAAGAGUUCAUAUCGACGGCGGUGUUUGGCACCUCGAUGUCGGCUCAUCACAUCCUGGGGCUGAAGUAGGUCCCAAGGGUAUGGCUGUUCGCCAUUUAAAGUGGUACGCGAGCUGGGUUUAGAACGUCGUGAGACAGUUCGGUCCCUAUCUGCCGUGGGCGCUGGAGAACUGAGGGGGGCUGCUCCUAGUACGAGAGGACCGGAGUGGACGCAUCACUGGUGUUCGGGUUGUCAUGCCAAUGGCACUGCCCGGUAGCUAAAUGCGGAAGAGAUAAGUGCUGAAAGCAUCUAAGCACGAAACUUGCCCCGAGAUGAGUUCUCCCUGACUCCUUGA
Molecule: ribosomal RNA, 2785 nt
Filed under: Shigella dysenteriae
Lineage: Bacteria; Pseudomonadati; Pseudomonadota; Gammaproteobacteria; Enterobacterales; Enterobacteriaceae
Description: bacterial LSU rRNA
Rfam family: Bacterial large subunit ribosomal RNA
Source: RNAcentral